AGUGUUGGGUCGCUAGCCGGUUCUAAUGGGGAGCAUCCAUUAGAGUUAAUGGGGAAAGUUUGGUGCAAAUCCAACGCUGUCCCGCAACUGUGAUCGAGGGAAAUUCCUCUAAGCCAGAACGCCCGCCGACAAAUUAGCGCCAAC
RNAcentral lists this non-coding RNA (144 nucleotides) under Xenococcus sp. (in: cyanobacteria). Lineage: Bacteria; Bacillati; Cyanobacteriota; Cyanophyceae; Pleurocapsales; Xenococcaceae. The record is from RNAcentral. RNAcentral also lists the same sequence under 1 other name.